UCGCGGGAUGGAGCAGUCUGGCAGCUCGUUGGGCUCAUAACCCAAAGGUCGAUGGUUCAAAUCCAUCUCCCGCAAUUUU
Molecule: transfer RNA, 79 nt
Filed under: Gemella haemolysans ATCC 10379
Lineage: Bacteria; Bacillati; Bacillota; Bacilli; Caryophanales; Gemellaceae
Description: tRNA-Met
Rfam family: tRNA
About the family: Transfer RNA (tRNA) molecules are approximately 80 nucleotides in length. Their secondary structure includes four short double-helical elements and three loops (D, anti-codon, and T loops).
Source: RNAcentral